Molecule: long non-coding RNA, 1680 nt
Organism: Tripterygium wilfordii
Lineage: Eukaryota; Viridiplantae; Streptophyta; Magnoliopsida; Celastrales; Celastraceae
Exons: 4
Source: RefSeq, a predicted model, not a curated record
CCUUAUCAUAUUAAACAAUUAAAAUUACAGACUAUAUUUACUAUAUUUAGUUCUUAAUAAAAAUAAAUAAAAAAAACCUUCCCAUUCUCUUUCAACGCCUCUUCUACGCGAUUCAUGGGUGUCAAUUAAUGUUUUACCCUCUUUUCAGGUAAUCAGUUGGGUUUUCAUCAUAGAGUGAAACACGAUCUUGGUUGUUUCUUGACACAAUCCCUCUUUCAUCUGAUUCAUGCAUCUUCUGGAAGGGAUUCCUUGGGCAACGAACAGCCGCAUACGAGGGGUUUCUUGGGCGAAACACAGCUAACCUAAUAACUAAUUUCUUUGGAGACGGAAGGAAUUAUCUUCUUAACACAAGGCAAGGGCUCGAAAUUGCCGGAUCGAAAGUGCGGUGUUCCAUUUGACCAGUUUCAGGAAAGUACAGCUAUAAAUUGCUUUCAAUUAGAAGAACCAUUAAGAAGAAACAUCCAGUUAAAAGAAGUUGUAAAUAACAUGUUCUAAGUUAAUCUACACAACACACAAAUGUGGUGGACACGCCGUUGGACACCGCAGUUCAAGGAAAAAAAAAUCACAUCGCUCAUGCAGUCAUGCUACUAAACAAACAGAAGAUGAGUUGACGAGGUUAGUGAUAUCUGAUUUACAACCUUUUUUCCAGUCACUUGGGGGCUAUUGAGUUAAAAACAAUUCGUAUUGGUCUAAAUGGGUUCCAUGGUUUAAUUCAGCACCACAUUUGUGUGUUAUCUAGAUUAACUUAGAACAUGUUAUUUACAACUUCUUUUAAGUGGAUGUUUCUUCUUAAUGUGGUCCUUUUAAUUGAAAGCAAUUUAUAGCUGUACUUUUGGUUUUUAUAGUGAAAAAUUCGGUGCUAGACACAUCAAAACUUACGGAUGUUCUAAACAAUUCUCUAUAUACUAUAAUUUCAAUCCUUUUGCUUAGGAUUUAACUGUAGGAUAUGCUAAAUAAAAGCAUUGGAUGCCCCCAGGAGAGGUCAUAUCCUUGAACAAUUAUUUAAAUUAUGUAUGUGGAGGAUGUGGAUGUAGUAACAUUUGACUGGAAUUUGCUACGUAUCAUUGAAGGGUUAGUUAAAAAACAGGGCAAGUUGGUGGGUGCCGUGAACAGUUAUGUCAUUUCUAUUUCCAUUUCAGGACAGGAAACAAUUACCCACAGAGGAAAAUGGACAUAAAAGUGGUUGUCGAGGAUGAUCGAGGGGGAACAAACAUCAUGGCACCAACGGAGCAGUUACUGUGCCAAACCUUAUCUUAUAAUUAAAUUCUCUAUUCUUUCUCUGUUGUAAUGUCUUCCUGCUUUAUUGCAGUUCAUGGAACUACACAUUCAAGCUACACAAACUACUUUGAGAGGCUAACCAAAGCACAGAACUUCUUUUUCUGAUUUCGUAUUGCUAUGGGAAAAUUGUGGCAGAAAGCAUGGGAGCCUGGGAGGUGGCCAAGGAGAAAGAGGUUGACAUGGUUGUUCAUUGAUAGUUAUAAUUCCUACAUUGUUUACUUUCUCCGUUUCCAUUCCCUUAUGCUUGCUCCCUCCUUUUCCACUUGGUGUUUUUGUACACAUAAUUCAUAACCAUCUUUCCCUAAUUCUCUUGAUUUGGAAAAAAUUCCUGUUAUUCAUGGAUUUGAAUUCAUAUAUACACCAGCGGCAGAGGCAAUGUUUCUUGCCUGGUCAUUUUUGUUA